This 1454-nucleotide long non-coding RNA is filed under the name Macaca mulatta (Rhesus monkey). RNAcentral describes it as "lncRNA (ENSMMUG00000058717.1)". The record is from RNAcentral. Lineage: Eukaryota; Metazoa; Chordata; Mammalia; Primates; Cercopithecidae.
CAGGAUUAUGACUUAAGAGCCCAGAUUUGCAUCUCACACCCGCUACUUACGCGCCAGGGGCCUCUGUGGAUGCCACUCCACAGCCUCGUGUGUUAAGAGGCACACAAGAGCUGCCUGAUUGGCUCCCAAGCUCAGAACCAGGAGCCAGGGAAAUCAUAGCGAAAUCAGAACCUGAUGUGGCCCCGUCAGCAUCACGCGCACACUCAGAGCAAAAUGACCUGCUCUUCAAUGUAAUUUGGUUUAGUUUAGUUCAGUUGUCCUGCCCACCAGCUCCUGACCCUCCCGCCACUGAGGGGUGGUAUUUGAAAGCACAGGCAAGUUAAUGAAGCAUCCAAUUCAUGCCAGCUUUUAUCUGUCAGAGAAACACCAGCGAGCAAGGUAGAGACACCAAGCCAAACCCUGAUGUGUUCCAUCUGAUCACGGUCUUCAGCCAGAGAUGUCUCCUUCCUCCGUUCCCCCAGCUGAGUUUCCAAGCCCAGAAAGGAGGAGCAAAUACACCUGAGUUUGGGACCUUCUUCCCUCAGUUCUGUAUCCAUUUUCCCUGAGCUGGACACAGACUUCAAAUACCAUCUUUCGGCCGCAGUUUAGUCUGUCAAGCCAUCGUUCCAUGUGGUAUUACUCUUUUCUAUUUCAGAGAAUGAAUUCUCUGAAAUUGCCAGAAAUAACCUCACACCUCACCGCAGUUACCCCUACCCAUUAGUGGGAAAUGGCUGUGGUCGCUCUCUCUGGAAUUAUUGUGCUGUGAGGUCAAGGAUGGCAAGUGCAGUGGAAGCCAUCUGCUUUAGCACCAUUAGUGCACUUUGUAGAUAAUUAUGGAAUUUGUCAAGCAUUCCUUGGGAUUCACUUCAGCUGCCCAGUCUUGUGAGUGAACUUUGACAAUAGAAAAUUGUGGUUGAUUUCUGUUUGUUUGGGUACUGUUCCCAUAGUAAUAAGAAUAAUUAUUAAUAAAUGGAGAAAGUUGUGCUAAGGGUUUGUCAAUAAAUAACCUUAAUUUUUUUUUUUAUUUAAAAAAUGCUCACAAUGAAGAUCUAAAGCAGAAAGAAGCAGGGACAUCUCACAGUCUCUUUUCUUUUCGGGCUUAUCUUGGAGCCCUGCUCUGCUGUGUAAGAAGAGAAGACACUCAACGGCACAAAAGGAGGCUGAGGUCCCCCCUUCCACCCUUCCCUGAGCAGAGCCGUCUGACACUGGAGCCCAGCUGCUCCCCAUCUUCCUGCACAUCCUCAGCUCUCAGGGGCAGCUGCCAGCUUGGUCUCAGACACGCUCGCUUCCCAGACCCCAAUCUCAUUUGUAAAAUGACAGUUGGAGCGCAUCUGGCCUGGCGACUUUGUUCAGAACAUCAUGUGGCUUCCUUUCUCUGUAACUCCACCCUUCACUGCAGAAGUUCAGACCACCAGUGGGUCCGUGAAACAAGUCUAAACAGACCUCUCUGUGUUCCUUCUCGAUGCAUCUACUAG